UGGGGAAUCUUGGACAAUGGGCGCAAGCCUGAUCCAGCCAUGCCGCGUGAGUGACGAAGGUCUUCGGAUUGUAAAGCUCUUUUGGCGGGGACGAUAAUGACGGUACCCGCAGAAUAAGCCCCGGCUAACUUCGUGCCAGCAGCCGCGGUAAUACGAAGGGGGCUAGCGUUGUUCGGAAUUACUGGGCGUAAAGCGCACGUAGGCGGAUCUAUAAGUCAGGGGUGAAAUCCCGGGGCUCAACCUCGGAACUGCCUUUGAUACUGUAGAUCUCGAGUCCGGAAGAGGUGAGUGGAAUUCCUAGUGUAGAGGUGAAAUUCGUAGAUAUUAGGAAGAACACCGGUGGCGAAGGCGGCUCACUGGUCCGGUACUGACACUGAGGUGCGAAAGCGUGGGGAGCAAACAGGAUUAGAUACCCCAGUAGUCCCUGAGCGGGCUGGCAAGGCGCAU
Molecule: ribosomal RNA, 447 nt
Filed under: uncultured bacterium
Lineage: Bacteria
Description: bacterial SSU rRNA
Rfam family: Bacterial small subunit ribosomal RNA
Source: RNAcentral